Lagenorhynchus albirostris (white-beaked dolphin) is the source of this 1021-nucleotide long non-coding RNA. RefSeq lists it as uncharacterized. The transcript has 2 exons. The record is from RefSeq and is a predicted model, not a curated record. NCBI's taxonomy places the organism in Eukaryota, Metazoa, Chordata, Mammalia, Artiodactyla, Delphinidae.
GGGCGGGGUGGUGUGGGUGCCCGUGGCCUGGACCUUGGGCCCGGGGCUGCCCACACCCGAGAGAAGCCGCUAAGAUCCCGCAUGCCGCAACUAAAACCGUGUGCCGCAACUAAGACCUGACACAGCCAAAUAAAUAAAAGAAAAAGAAAAGAUGCCAUAAGGUACACCCUCAAGAGAAGCCCCUGCCCGCGUGUGCCAGGUGGUAAAAUGUCCAAAAGAGCAAAGCGAGCCCUGCAGAGAGAUGGACACAACCCAGAUGUCCCCCACAGAAUGCACGUGACGCUGAGGUUUAUUCGUGCAGUGGGAUGUUGUGCAGCAGUGAACAUGGACGAUCCCCAGCCACAAACGACUACGUGGCCAAGUCUUAGAAACACGAUGUCGAGUGAACAAAGCAAGUUCCAGAAGACUCUGUGUGGCACCAUAUUAUUUAUAAAACUCAAAAUGAUAGUUAAACCCUACAGUGUGGGCAUGUACACAAUGGCAGUAGGAUUACUUAAAAGUGAAACACAGGGGCAGCCUGUAUUACAGCAGAGGGGUCAGCGCUGCAGAGACGGGGGCAGAGUGAGAAGGACCGUCUGGGUGAUAUGGGUGUGUAAUUAAACUUUAUAAUGUACACACAUUUACAUACAGGAAGUCCCCUACUAAUGAACCUUCAAGUUGCGAACUUUCAGAGAUGCGAAUGUGUGUUCACAUGUCCAGUCACAUAAGUUAGUUCAUGUGUCUGGUGUACGUAGUCACGUGCAUGCAUCCUCUACAAGUGGCUGUGCUUUUGUGUCCUUUAGUGUAUGGAGUACAGUAGUGCAGUAUUUUUAUUUCAAGCCAGGAUGUCCAGAGCAAGCGUACAAGCAGCGGUGUACAGCCGACUGUGUUAGUUGGGUACCUGGGCUCACUUCGUUCGACUUAAUGAACAAAUUGGACUUACGAACACGCUCUCGUAACGGAACUCGCUCGUAUGUAGGGGACUUACCGUAUAUUCUUUUGUACAUACCAAAAUGUAAUAUAUUAAAAUGUAAUAACGGAA